This 253-nucleotide ribosomal RNA is filed under the name uncultured bacterium. Its description in RNAcentral is "partial 16S ribosomal RNA". It matches the Rfam family "Bacterial small subunit ribosomal RNA", at positions 524 to 776 of the family's 1533-position model. The record is from RNAcentral.
UACGUAGGUGGCAAGCGUUGUCCGGAUUUAUUGGGUUUAAAGCGUGCGCAGGCGGUUCGUUGUGUCGGUGGUGAAAGCCCCGGGCUUAACCUGGGAAUGGCCAUGGAAACUGGCGAACUGGAGUGUGGCAGAGGGGGGUGGAAUUCCAGGUGUAGCGGUGAAAUGCGUAGAUAUCAGGAGGAACACCCGUGGCGAAAGCGGCUCUCUGGGACGGUACUGACGCUGAGACGCGAAAGCGUGGGGAGCAAACAGG